RNAcentral lists this ribosomal RNA (253 nucleotides) under uncultured bacterium. RNAcentral describes it as "partial 16S ribosomal RNA". It matches the Rfam family "Bacterial small subunit ribosomal RNA", at positions 524 to 776 of the family's 1533-position model. RNAcentral also lists the same sequence under 1 other name. The record is from RNAcentral.
UACGUAGGGUCCGAGCGUUGUCCGGAAUUAUUGGGCGUAAAGAGCUCGUAGGCGGUCCGUUAAGUCGGAAGUGAAAUCUCAAGGCUCAACCUUGAAAUCGCUUUCGAUACUGGCGGACUUGAGGCAGGUAGGGGAAGGUGGAAUUCCUGGUGUAGCGGUGAAAUGCGCAGAUAUCAGGAGGAACACCGGUGGCGAAGGCGGCCUUCUGGGCCUGUUCUGACGCUGAGGAGCGAAAGCGUGGGGAGCAAACAGG